GAGACUCUGUGCGCGUGCAUAUCAAUAAGCGGAGGAAAAGAAACUAACUAGGAUUCCCUCAGUAACGGCGAGUGAAGCGGGAAGAGCUCAAAUUUGAAAUCUUCAAGGUUCUACCUUGACGAAUUGUAGUUUAAAGAAGUGUUUUCUGUUGGAGUUUUGGUAAAAGUUCUUUGGAAUAGGACAUCAUAGAGGGUGAGAAUCCCGUAUUUGACCAUUAUUUCCAACUUUGUGAUACACUUUCAAAGAGUCGGAUUGUUUGGGAAUGCAGUCCAAAAUGGGUGGUAAAUUUCAUCUAAAGCUAAAUAUUGGCGAGAGACCGAUAGCGAACAAGUACCGUGAGGGAAAGAUGAAAGGAACUUUGAAAAGAGAGUUAAGCAGUACGUGAAAUUGUCAAAAGGGAAGCGUUUGACACCAGUGUUGUUUUCUCGAAAAUCAAUUAAAAAAGGCCGGAUUUUGUGUUGUAUUGACCUUAAAAGCUUUCUUCACUCUUCUCUUGUCUUUUUUAAUGCACUUUUCGUUUAACAAGUCAACAUCAGUUUCUUUUGUUGUAAAAGAGUCAUUGGAAGGUGGCUUUCUUUUCGGAGAAAGUGUUUAUAGCCUUUGAUCUCUGCAACCGGAGAGACUGAGGUCUGCAGCGUAGACUCUUCGGGGUUAAAUACAUUUGUGCUAAGCUAUAGCUUUUUAUAGACAACUUGUUGACUAUAUUUAGUCUUGUAGGCUUACUCGCUUAUGCUAUUUUACCUACGCUUAGGAUGUUGAGUCGUAGAGCACGCAG
Molecule: ribosomal RNA, 775 nt
Filed under: uncultured Neocallimastigales
Lineage: Eukaryota; Fungi; Neocallimastigomycota; Neocallimastigomycetes; Neocallimastigales
Description: partial large subunit ribosomal RNA
Rfam family: Eukaryotic large subunit ribosomal RNA
Source: RNAcentral